GACUGACUGAGAGAUUCAGUUGUGUUGUGUAUGAGGGCUGUUGAUGUAGUUCUGCAAAGCUCAUUGAGGAAGUCAUUAUUUACACAAUGUCUCUCUGUUUGUUCCUGCUUCUACUGGCAUUCAUUGGUGCCAGUAUACAAGACAGUAUUGCUCCAACAUCCCCCGUAGUUAUUGCAAAGGAGAACGAAAAAGUUACUAUUUCUUGUAAAUACCAGUACACUGUAUCAAUGAAUAACCUGCAGUGGUAUCGUCAGUAUCCCAACACUGUGCCAGAAUUCCUUGUUCUAAUCAUGGAGUCGGGACAAAAUCAGACUGCAACAGUUCCUAACCCUCGACUGAAAGCCUCAGUUCUAAAAAACAACAGGACAGUGUAUCUGGAAAUCUUCCCUGCAGACGUGAAGGAUUCUGCAUUGUAUUACUGUGCACUGCAGCCCACAGUGACAGGAAACCGAGUUUCACCAUACAAAAACCUGCUCAGAGCUAAAUUAUGCUAUAGAUGCUAAAGAAACUUGGGUAACACUUUACAACAAGAUUGUAUUCGUUAACAUUAAUUACACAUUAGUUAACAUGAACACUCCUUUAACAGCAUUUUGUUAUCUUGAUUAAUUUUAACAGUUCUACAUAUACUAAUAUAUUUUGUUACAUUAAAAGUUGUAUAUGUUAAAAUUAGUUAAUGCAAUUUGAACUAAUAUUUACUAACAAAGAACAAUAGUAAUUUGAUACAUGACUAUUAACCAAGAUGAAUAAUACUGUAAAAAGUCAUUGUUAGUUCAUGAUAUCUAAUGUAUUUACUAAUGUUAUGAAGACAACCUCAUUGUAAAGUGUUAAUGAAUUUUUCCCCCUCAUCACAGACAGAAAAUCUCAUGUUAAGUGAAAAUGGAAACAACUGCCCUGAAAAUUAUUUGACAGAAUUCAAAUAAAUCAAACUGUGAAUGUCAUCCAUAAAAUCAGACAAAAGCAGCAAAUAGGGCAUUUCUUGACUGUACGUACAGUAGAUGCUGGAAACAAUACUCAUAUAUCAUUAUCUCAGAUGACUUAAACACAUUCCAAUCACCAUCACAAUAAUUACUGAUUAUACUAUGUAGCUAUUUACAUCUGCA
Non-coding RNA from Myxocyprinus asiaticus (Chinese sucker), 1100 nucleotides. The record is from the annotation of a RefSeq genome assembly. Lineage: Eukaryota; Metazoa; Chordata; Actinopteri; Cypriniformes; Catostomidae.